AUUAUAUUGUAAACUCCUCAAAGGUAGUGUGAAAGAGAAUUCAGGACUAUCUUAAUGGCUUUCUUUGUAUUCCAGUAAUGAGCAUGAUGCUUUGGCACACAGUAGUCAUCUAAUCAAUGCUGAUUGACUGACUGGCUGACAGUUGCUCUUCAGAAGUGCAACCCAGAAGAGGCCAGUUUUCAAAGGCCAAAUGGAAAUAGAAAAUGUCCACUGUGUCCCUGAGAAAUGCCCAAAACAUCAUGUCAUCAAAAGAGUUUGGAUUUGGACUUUCGAACUCAGCUGAAACUUCUCUUUCAAAGAUGACUUUGGAUGAUGGAACAAAGAUGAUGAUGGAACCAAGUUCUCCCCUGGCUUGCCAGAAGAUGAGGACUUGAGGGCGACAGCACAGAGGCAAGAUGAAAUUGAAAAUGUCUAAUCAAUAGCUCUGAAAACCCCUUUACUUUCUGAAAUUAAAGCUCCAGUUUUUCAGUAGUCCAAAACAGUAAUUAUGCUUGGCCAUGAAAGCUGUACCAAUUUUUUGUCAAUGCACACUGGGUACAUUUUGGGUUUCUUAGC
Molecule: long non-coding RNA, 555 nt
Filed under: Monodelphis domestica (gray short-tailed opossum)
Lineage: Eukaryota; Metazoa; Chordata; Mammalia; Didelphimorphia; Didelphidae
Description: lncRNA (ENSMODG00000049396.1)
Source: RNAcentral